Molecule: ribosomal RNA, 274 nt
Filed under: uncultured bacterium
Lineage: Bacteria
Description: partial 16S ribosomal RNA
Rfam family: Bacterial small subunit ribosomal RNA
Source: RNAcentral
AGACGGAGGGUGCUAGCGUUGUUCGGAAUGACUGGGCGUAAAGGGCGCGUAGGCGGUUUUGUUAGUCAGGCGUGAAAGCCCUGGGCUCAACCCAGGAACUGCGUUUGAUACUGCAAAACUCGAGGACGGAAGAGGAAAGUGGAAUUCCUAGUGUAGAGGUGAAAUUCGUAGAUAUUAGGAGGAACACCAGAGGCGAAGGCGGCUUUCUGGUCCGUUACUGACGCUGAGGCGCGAAAGCGUGGGGAGCAAACAGGAUUAGAAACCCUAGUAGUCC